GCCAUUCUAGUGCGUAAGCAACUCUCCUGGAGGACACUUUUGACCUACAGGGCAGAGUCAAUGGAUAAAUAGCCCCCUCUUCUGUCCCUUGGGUGGAUAAUGCUGAACCUUCACCCUCAGAAGGUCUCAAAAGCCAAGGGGAGGCCCAGUUGCCCACUGUGUGAGCAAUAUGAGAAUGACCCAAUGGACUGACUCUCUUUACAUCCCAAUUCCAUUCUUCCCAGUCCCUGGCCUCUGUGUCUUGCAAAAUUUUCCCCCAAAUGAAUGACGUGUAUGUAAGUGUUUGUCUCAGGCUCUGUUUUUCCUACAGAACCUACAGUAAGACAGUUGAUAUCUAGAAACAACUCUAAAAAGCAGACUCUCAGCAAGGUAUUCAAGAACUCCAUCAUUUGAUUUCUACCUGACAAUUGGCUUUGUCACACAGCCCACAAGAUACAGCAGACCUGCUGAUGCCAGAGGUGUCCAUGGUGAUUGGAUGCCAUUCCCAACAGAAAAGUCAUGGCAGAGACAGCAAGGAGUUUAGGGCAAGUCUGGGUCUUAUGCGGCAGAAAAUUACUCACUUUUAGCAAAGCAGCUUCUAGCCUACUGAAGACCGGGCUUCUACCGUGGGACAGUAUAGAGCACCCAACCAACAGAAGAGAGAAAGCCUCGGGCCUGCAACGGAGAUGGGUCAGACUUGUGCGUUCAUACUAGAUAACAAUACUCUGUGGUCCCAAAGAAGGCCCUGAAAUGGUGGUGAGAGUCACUGCUUUUCUCCAAACCAAGUGAGCUCCUCUUGGAUAAUUUGCCUUCUGAUAAAAUCAGUUCACCUUCCACGGGCCUCUUGCAGCCAAUUAUGCUUUUUUUUUUUUUUUUUAACACUCCAAAUUAAAAUUUUUCAA
This is a long non-coding RNA of Canis lupus familiaris (dog), 881 nucleotides long. RefSeq lists it as uncharacterized. The transcript has 3 exons. NCBI's taxonomy places the organism in Eukaryota, Metazoa, Chordata, Mammalia, Carnivora, Canidae. The record is from RefSeq and is a predicted model, not a curated record.